This is a non-coding RNA of Potamilus streckersoni, 73 nucleotides long. The record is from the annotation of a GenBank genome assembly. Lineage: Eukaryota; Metazoa; Mollusca; Bivalvia; Unionida; Unionidae.
GUUCAUGUGGCCUAGUAGUUAGAGCAUCCGCCUCGGAUGCGGGAGGUCGCGGUUUCGAUCCCUGGCCGAAUCA